CAGUAGCCACGGUAAUACGUAGGGUGCAAGCGUUAAUCGGAAUUACUGGGCGUAAAGCGUGCGCAGGCGGUUAUAUAAGACAGAUGUGAAAUCCCCGGGCUCAACCUGGGAACUGCAUUUGUGACUGUAUAGCUAGAGUACGGCAGAGGGGGAUGGAAUUCCGCGUGUAGCAGUGAAAUGCGUAGAUAUGCGGAGGAACACCGAUGGCGAAGGCAAUCCCCUGGGCCUGUACUGACGCUCAUGCACGAAAGCGUGGGGAGCAAACAGGAUUAGAUACCCGAGUAGUCCCUGUCUCUUAUAA
This 301-nucleotide ribosomal RNA is filed under the name uncultured bacterium. RNAcentral's name for it is "partial 16S ribosomal RNA". It matches the Rfam family "Bacterial small subunit ribosomal RNA", at positions 509 to 809 of the family's 1533-position model. The record is from RNAcentral.